AAAUAUUUAGCUUAUUCUUUACUCGGACUUAUUUUUCAGUUGAACCAGCUGGAAAUAGACAUGCUUGGAUUACAUUGCAUGUAAUUUCUAUGCUACACAUCCAUACUUGAUCUAUGUCAUUUGAUUAUAUUUGUAUUCAUGAUCAAGAAAAGUUAUGUACAUAUAUAUGUGUGUCGUCUUGACCCAAAUGUAACAAAAGCCGCCUUGGUCCAAUAUUAACAUGAUUGAUGGACGAGAUUGUUUGGAGGUACUUUGGUUUAUGAUAGCAAAUAUGUUUGAGCUCAUAAAUGUGACAUACAAUUAUGUACAUAUACAUAUAUGUGUCGUCCAAGUGAGAGAUUGUAAGAGUUUAUGGAUUUGCACAUACAUUUUGUAUCAAGAAUAAUUGUAUGUUGGUUGCUAUCAUUAGAAGGUUGACCCAAAUUAAAAGUGAUCUACAAAGGUUUAAAGUUAAA
This 455-nucleotide long non-coding RNA is filed under the name Nicotiana benthamiana. RNAcentral describes it as "long non-coding RNA (NBEN_LNC035162)". Lineage: Eukaryota; Viridiplantae; Streptophyta; Magnoliopsida; Solanales; Solanaceae. The record is from RNAcentral.